This 228-nucleotide long non-coding RNA is filed under the name Lathyrus oleraceus (garden pea). Its description in RNAcentral is "Pisum sativum (pea) long non-coding RNA (PSAT_LNC020534)". Lineage: Eukaryota; Viridiplantae; Streptophyta; Magnoliopsida; Fabales; Fabaceae. The record is from RNAcentral.
CAAAAUAAGGAUUACAACUACCGGUUACUGGGUAGAAUACCAAAAGAAGAGAAUAUUUGUCAUCAGUUAGAAUGAACAUAUCAAGGAUAAACUCAAAGGGGAAGAAGAAAUCUGUCAUCGGUUAGGAUGAACAUGUCAAGGAUAUACUUUCGGGGAGACGUGAAAACGAAUCUGCUGGGGGAACAAGGUUACCUUUGUCGGGUAUUGGGAAGAAGUGACAAACAUGAG